AUUUGGACACCAAUUAAACCAUUCGGCAAUAAAGAAUAACUACAGUUCUCUCUCUCUCUUUUCUUUUCCAGGAGAGAGACUGAACUAUUUCUUAAAAACAUGGUCUCCUGUUUUUAUUAAUCAAUAUGUGCGUAUGCCAGGAUGAAGUCAUGAGGAAGAGACGUUCCUGAAUUGCUUUACCACACUCUGCUCAAUGCGCCUUUCAUUCUCGUGACAUUUGUAGAGCUGCUCAGACACAUUCCUUCCACCACCACCACUCCUUUUUCCCGUGAAGAGUGAUCACUCUAGGGUUCUUUCGUAGCCCAGCCAGGACUGCCUAAUGAAACCCAGAGAUAUUAUGGACAUGGAUUGGAACUGUGAGUUUGCAGAGGGACACGUUCUGAAAGAGAAAUGAGUGUGUUCUGAGAAGAAAAAGGGGGUAUCUGUAAUCUACAAAUCUGAAAGCUGUCUUGAAGAGAGGGGAACAGCUUCAGCAGGAGACAUUGAGAGAGCCCCACAGCAGAAUAUCCCAUGGCUCAGUGGCUGGGGCACUCACCUGAGAGGUGGCAAAGCCCUAUUCAAAUUCUCUCUCCUUCCUAGACAGAGGAGGGACUUGGUC
Mauremys reevesii (Reeves's turtle) is the source of this 598-nucleotide long non-coding RNA. RefSeq lists it as uncharacterized. Lineage: Eukaryota; Metazoa; Chordata; Testudines; Geoemydidae. The record is from RefSeq and is a predicted model, not a curated record. The transcript is spliced from 5 exons.